UACCUUAUCUGGCAGGGACAAUACCGUGAUCAAGGAGUUGGUUUGCCCAAAGCGAGGCUCAGCCAUUGCACUCGUGCUGUGCUGACCUUUGCGAGUUCCCCAAAUGCAGGAAUCUCAACUGCAUAAUUUCUGACAGUGAGGGACUGCGUAUGCGUUCUCGUCUU
Small nuclear RNA from Hemibagrus wyckioides, 164 nucleotides. RefSeq annotates it as U1 spliceosomal RNA. NCBI's taxonomy places the organism in Eukaryota, Metazoa, Chordata, Actinopteri, Siluriformes, Bagridae. The transcript has a single exon. The record is from RefSeq and is a predicted model, not a curated record.